CAGUGGUAGUUGACAUGAUGGUUAUAAUGUUAAGAGGAGGAGGAUACACUUCUGACACCACCCACCUCAUGUCUUCAUGUUGGUUUGCUGAUAGGAGGGUUUACUCAAAGAGGAGGAUGGAAAUAAUCAUAAUCAUCUGCCGACACACUGAGGGUAUCUUUUGUAUCAGCGAUAAAAUUAUUACCAAACACAAAAUACAACAUGAUCAUCUUAUUCCUAAGCAUUCAUUUGAACACUAUUCUGGUUUCAGCAGGUUCCUCUCUCAGUGACCAAGUCCAUCAGACUCCAGCUGACAUUUACAACACACCAGGACAAAUAGCCAAGAUUGAAUGUUCACACACCAAUCCAAGCUUUAACCAAAUCCUCUGGUACAAGAAAUCAAAGAACAGACAGCUGCAGUUGCUUGGAUACAUGGUGGGAGGCAGUGGAUCUCCAGAGAAUGGAGUGAAUGUGAAGAUAGCAGGGAGUGCAAAUAAAGACCAAAACUGCACAUUAACAAUUGAAGAACUCCAGCUGAACAGCAGUGCAGUGUACUUCUGUGCUGCUAGUUUACACAGUGCUACAUAUCACUGCUCCUCAGUACAAAAACCUUCUGAUAUCUUCAUGUUACAGGUUACACCUGUAUUAACCCAUUCUAGCCAAUGUUGGUCUUCCCUUUCAUCCAGAUCAGAUAUUAUAAUGGGAAGUUCCUUAUGUUCCUAACAACAGCCUCAGACGUUCAGCAGGUCUGCAGUGCCUGCACCUUAUUUCAACAAGAUAACUAUCAAAUGGUUGUCCAAUUAUCUGAAUGCAACUGUCUAUUACUGACAAAUAAAUUAACAGCUCCAUAAGUUUUUAAAUAUUCAGACUAAGAGACCAAGUUCAUGUUAGCAGUGUCUCUGGUAGUACAUCAUAUCACAUCAUACAGCGACACUCCCACAACUCUUCAUCUCUCUGCUGUAACGUCACACCUCCCAUCACACACACUGACACCGACUCCGGUCUCCAAGUUCAUGUUACUCAGAACACAAUAAUGAUCACUGCUGGUCUGAUCAGACUCUCUGCAGCUCUGCUCUGGAUUGUCUAAUUGAUGGGAGUGAUGUCACUCAGACACCUUUGCUGUGGAAGGUCAAGGAUCAGUCUGCCACAAUGAACUGCAGUCACAACAAGGAUGCCAGUUAUUUCCAGAUGUACUGGUACAGACAGCUACCAGGAGAGGGG
This is a long non-coding RNA of Dicentrarchus labrax (European seabass), 1200 nucleotides long. RefSeq lists it as uncharacterized. The record is from RefSeq and is a predicted model, not a curated record. The transcript is spliced from 3 exons. NCBI's taxonomy places the organism in Eukaryota, Metazoa, Chordata, Actinopteri, Moronidae.